Molecule: long non-coding RNA, 1253 nt
Filed under: Catharus ustulatus (Swainson's thrush)
Lineage: Eukaryota; Metazoa; Chordata; Aves; Passeriformes; Turdidae
Description: lncRNA (ENSCUSG00005000340.1)
Source: RNAcentral
ACAAGUUGAAAAGCUGCCGAAGGUAAUAGCUGGAAAAUCUUUUGAUCCUUUCUGUCUCCUUGCUAUCAGUUUCCUGGAUCUGUUUUGGUAUAGAAAUAUCCAGAGGCUCUGUCUCUCACAGCUCCUCCACUCCUGCAGACUAUUACAUCAGAGGUUCUGCUUUUUAAACACUGACCUCAGGAGAAGCUCUGCAGGAUGAGAAGGUUAUUAUGUGACUGGACACCUUAAGUCACUUGGGGUACAUUGCUACAGCGUCUCAGUUAUCAGUGUUCUCCUUCAGAGAUGAAGUCUGCUUCGACAUGUCAGAGCACAUUUUGAUGGCACUGCCACAUGAAGAAAAAACCUGUUAAUUUACUGCACAGGUAAACAUCAAAAGACAUGGUCUGAACCAAAUCAACCCUAACUUUAUCUCUCUCUUUACUUUAAGUAGAAUUAGAACAGCCAAUCUUUCCUUGAAAAGCAGAGUUUCUUUUCCCUGGUCCAGAAAGAUUUAAGUGUUCCCCAUCCCUGAGGAUCCUCAGGUAACUCCAUUGUGCCACUAAGCAUUUAGAAGCAUCACACUUGCCUGCAAAGUUUGUAGCAACAUCACAUCCUUCUGCCUGUUGCAGACAUCUGUCUCAUGAGGAACAUGCAGCUGCUGAACUGAUCUUCCCACAAUGUCUAGGCACGAAGUUCAUCCAACACUCCAUAAGAAACCUGACAAAAAAACCAACUGAUUGUCUGUUUUGUGCAGCCAGGGGGUCACUCCAUUUUAAAAGAGGCAAUGGUAAAUUUAACAUCCAAGCUGUCAUGAGUGGAAGACUAGACACAGUGAAGAAAAGUCUUCCAGUUCUACUUUCUUAAAGUUUAAUUUUCUGAUAUUUUUUGUGAUGAAGCUGAAAAUGAAAGAAUUGCACCUCUACCUUUGGAAUAGAAGCCACACUCAGAGCAAGACACAGCUCACUGACAUGCUGACUACACAAGAAACUAUUUCUCCUUAGUUUAGCCUUUUCAUCUUAAGCUAGAGGCAAAAAAGCAGUCAUAGAAUACUUGCAGAAAAUUAAAAGAACUUCCAAAUUAAUUCUUGGUCAGAUCAAUGGAAUUUCACUUAGCCCAAAUUGUGUUUGUGUGAAAGAUCCCUCUAAUGGUCAUAAGUGAGCAGUGGUCAUAUCUUCAGCACUUUGAACCUAUUUUUACUGUGUUUGAAAGGUGAUAUAUUUUGGGUGAUAAUGUUAUUUAAGAAAAAAAAUCAUAUUCUGUACUUUUAAAUCUUU